GGUUAAGCGACUAAGCGUACACGGUGGAUGCCUUGGCAGUCAGAGGCGAUGAAGGACGUGCUAAUCUGCGAUAAGCGUCGGUAAGGUGAUAUGAACCGUUAUAACCGGCGAUUUCCGAAUGGGGAAACCCAGUGUGAUUCGUCACACUAUCAUUAACUGAAUCCAUAGGUUAAUGAGGCGAACCGGGGGAACUGAAACAUCUAAGUACCCCGAGGAAAAGAAAUCAACCGAGAUUCCCCCAGUAGCGGCGAGCGAACGGGGAGGAGCCCAGAGCCUGAAUCAGUGUGUGUGUUAGUGGAAGCGUCUGGAAAGGCGCGCGAUACAGGGUGACAGCCCCGUACACAAAAAUGCACAUAUUGUGAGCUCGAUGAGUAGGGCGGGACACGUGGUAUCCUGUCUGAAUAUGGGGGGACCAUCCUCCAAGGCUAAAUACUCCUGACUGACCGAUAGUGAACCAGUACCGUGAGGGAAAGGCGAAAAGAACCCCGGCGAGGGGAGUGAAAAAGAACCUGAAACCGUGUACGUACAAGCAGUGGGAGCACGCUUAGGCGUGUGACUGCGUACCUUUUGUAUAAUGGGUCAGCGACUUAUAUUCUGUAGCAAGGUUAACCGAAUAGGGGAGCCGAAGGGAAACCGAGUCUUAACUGGGCGUUAAGUUGCAGGGUAUAGACCCGAAACCCGGUGAUCUAGCCAUGGGCAGGUUGAAGGUUGGGUAACACUAACUGGAGGACCGAACCGACUAAUGUUGAAAAAUUAGCGGAUGACUUGUGGCUGGGGGUGAAAGGCCAAUCAAACCGGGAGAUAGCUGGUUCUCCCCGAAAGCUAUUUAGGUAGCGCCUCGUGAAUUCAUCUCCGGGGGUAGAGCACUGUUUCGGCAAGGGGGUCAUCCCGACUUACCAACCCGAUGCAAACUGCGAAUACCGGAGAAUGUUAUCACGGGAGACACACGGCGGGUGCUAACGUCCGUCGUGAAGAGGGAAACAACCCAGACCGCCAGCUAAGGUCCCAAAGUCAUGGUUAAGUGGGAAACGAUGUGGGAAGGCCCAGACAGCCAGGAUGUUGGCUUAGAAGCAGCCAUCAUUUAAAGAAAGCGUAAUAGCUCACUGGUCGAGUCGGCCUGCGCGGAAGAUGUAACGGGGCUAAACCAUGCACCGAAGCUGCGGCAGCGACGCUUAUGCGUUGUUGGGUAGGGGAGCGUUCUGUAAGCCUGUGAAGGUGUGCUGUGAGGCAUGCUGGAGGUAUCAGAAGUGCGAAUGCUGACAUAAGUAACGAUAAAGCGGGUGAAAAGCCCGCUCGCCGGAAGACCAAGGGUUCCUGUCCAACGUUAAUCGGGGCAGGGUGAGUCGACCCCUAAGGCGAGGCCGAAAGGCGUAGUCGAUGGGAAACAGGUUAAUAUUCCUGUACUUGGUGUUACUGCGAAGGGGGGACGGAGAAGGCUAUGUUGGCCGGGCGACGGUUGUCCCGGUUUAAGCGUGUAGGCUGGUUUUCCAGGCAAAUCCGGAAAAUCAAGGCUGAGGCGUGAUGACGAGGCACUACGGUGCUGAAGCAACAAAUGCCCUGCUUCCAGGAAAAGCCUCUAAGCAUCAGGUAACAUCAAAUCGUACCCCAAACCGACACAGGUGGUCAGGUAGAGAAUACCAAGGCGCUUGAGAGAACUCGGGUGAAGGAACUAGGCAAAAUGGUGCCGUAACUUCGGGAGAAGGCACGCUGAUAUGUAGGUGAAGCGACUUGCUCGUGGAGCUGAAAUCAGUCGAAGAUACCAGCUGGCUGCAACUGUUUAUUAAAAACACAGCACUGUGCAAACACGAAAGUGGACGUAUACGGUGUGACGCCUGCCCGGUGCCGGAAGGUUAAUUGAUGGGGUCAGCGCAAGCGAAGCUCUUGAUCGAAGCCCCGGUAAACGGCGGCCGUAACUAUAACGGUCCUAAGGUAGCGAAAUUCCUUGUCGGGUAAGUUCCGACCUGCACGAAUGGCGUAAUGAUGGCCAGGCUGUCUCCACCCGAGACUCAGUGAAAUUGAACUCGCUGUGAAGAUGCAGUGUACCCGCGGCAAGACGGAAAGACCCCGUGAACCUUUACUAUAGCUUGACACUGAACAUUGAGCCUUGAUGUGUAGGAUAGGUGGGAGGCUUUGAAGUGUGGACGCCAGUCUGCAUGGAGCCGACCUUGAAAUACCACCCUUUAAUGUUUGAUGUUCUAACGUUGACCCGUGAUCCGGGUUGCGGACAGUGUCUGGUGGGUAGUUUGACUGGGGCGGUCUCCUCCUAAAGAGUAACGGAGGAGCACGAAGGUUGGCUAAUCCUGGUCGGACAUCAGGAGGUUAGUGCAAUGGCAUAAGCCAGCUUGACUGCGAGCGUGACGGCGCGAGCAGGUGCGAAAGCAGGUCAUAGUGAUCCGGUGGUUCUGAAUGGAAGGGCCAUCGCUCAACGGAUAAAAGGUACUCCGGGGAUAACAGGCUGAUACCGCCCAAGAGUUCAUAUCGACGGCGGUGUUUGGCACCUCGAUGUCGGCUCAUCACAUCCUGGGGCUGAAGUAGGUCCCAAGGGUAUGGCUGUUCGCCAUUUAAAGUGGUACGCGAGCUGGGUUUAGAACGUCGUGAGACAGUUCGGUCCCUAUCUGCCGUGGGCGCUGGAGAACUGAGGGGGGCUGCUCCUAGUACGAGAGGACCGGAGUGGACGCAUCACUGGUGUUCGGGUUGUCAUGCCAAUGGCACUGCCCGGUAGCUAAAUGCGGAAGAGAUAAGUGCUGAAAGCAUCUAAGCACGAAACUUGCCCCGAGAUGAGUUCUCCCUGACUCCUUGAGAGUCCUGAAGGAACGUUGAAGACGACGACGUUGAUAGGCCGGGUGUGUAAGCGCAGCGAUGCGUUGAGCUAACCGGUACUAAUGAACCGUGAGGCUUAACCUU
Molecule: ribosomal RNA, 2904 nt
Filed under: Escherichia coli
Lineage: Bacteria; Pseudomonadati; Pseudomonadota; Gammaproteobacteria; Enterobacterales; Enterobacteriaceae
Description: 23S ribosomal RNA
Rfam family: Bacterial large subunit ribosomal RNA
Source: RNAcentral